GACGAACGCUGGCGGCGUGCUUAACACAUGCGAGUCGAACGGAAAGGCCCUUCGGGGUACUCGAGUGGCGAACGGGUGAGUAACACGUGGGUGAUCUGCCCUGCACUUUGGGAUAAGCCUGGGAAACUGGGUCUAAUACCGAAUAGGACCACGCGCUUCAUGGUGUGUGGUGGAAAGCUUUUGCGGUGUGGGAUGGGCCCGCGGCCUAUCAGCUUGUUGGUGGGGUAAUGGCCUACCAAGGCGACGACGGGUAGCCGGCCUGAGAGGGUGACCGGCCACACUGGGACUGAGAUACGGCGCAGACUCCUCCGGGAGGCAGCAGUGGGGAAUAUUGCACAAUGGGCGCAAGCCUGAUGCAGCGACGCCGCGUGAGGGAUGAGGGCCUUCGGGUUGUAAACCUCUUUCAAUAGGGACGAAGCGAAAGUGACGGUACCUAUAGAAGAAGCACCGGCCAACUACGUG
Molecule: ribosomal RNA, 462 nt
Filed under: uncultured bacterium
Lineage: Bacteria
Description: partial 16S ribosomal RNA
Rfam family: Bacterial small subunit ribosomal RNA
Source: RNAcentral